This 804-nucleotide long non-coding RNA is filed under the name Oryctolagus cuniculus (rabbit). RNAcentral describes it as "lncRNA (ENSOCUG00000022483.2)". Lineage: Eukaryota; Metazoa; Chordata; Mammalia; Lagomorpha; Leporidae. The record is from RNAcentral.
GAUGCGCGAGGACAUCGCGGCGCUGCGCCGCGAGCACGGGCGCGCGCCCCUGCGGAACCGCGGCAAGCUGUGGGAGAUGGACAAUCUGCUCAUCCAGAUCAAGACGCAGGUGGAGGCGUCGGAGGAGAGCGCCCUGAACCACCUGCCGGGCGCCGGCGGCGCGGCCAGGCCCGACAGGGCCGACGAGAAGGCGCGCGAGGCGGCCAAGAUGGCCGAGAUGCUGGUGGAGCUGGUGCGGCGGAUAGAGCGGAGCGAGUCGUCGUGAGCGCGGCGCGGUGUGCAGCCGCGGACGUGGUCGGGUCUGGAGAUGGCUGACACCCGGAGAAGCUGAAGCCAGAGCGCCUUCGUUUUUCUCUUUUCCUGUCUACUCUGUCCUCACUUUCGCUCCGUUUCUGCGUGGUCUGCGGUUGUGACCUCAAGACGAGUUUCCGCCUGUGCGGCGUUUCCGUGUCGGGGGAGGUAGCUGUGUUUAUUGUUGGGAAAACGCCCUCGCCCGCGGGGAUGGCGGCCGGGCCGGGCCGUGGGUGGUGGUUCCGAGUGGCGGCUGCCUCGUCGCUCUCGCGAGACCCGCGAGCUCCCUGGAACUUCGGGGCCGCGCGCGGGAGCCCCGGGGUGGAAGUCCUCGGGGGCGGCGGCCGCUGGCCCGGGGACUGUCACUUCUGUGAGACCAAAGGAGGAGAGAUGUAUUUUCUAAACGUGAGUUCCCUGGGGUCCUCGGCCGCUGUCCCCCUCUGCGUGUGCGUGGACGACCAUCUCCACUCGCUGCCCUGUGCUCGCCGUCGGGGCAGGGGUGGGCGAGGGUGA